CCUACGGGUGGCAGCAGUGAGGAAUAUUGGUCAAUGGACGCGAGUCUGAACCAGCCACGUCGCGUGAAGGAUGACUGCUCUAUGGGUUGUAAACUUCUUUUAUAAAGGAAUAAAACGAGGCACGUGUGCCUUUUUGCAUGUACUUUAUGAAUAAGGAUCGGCUAACUCCGUGCCAGCAGCCGCGGUAAUACGGAGGAUUCGAGCGUUAUCCGGAUUUAUUGGGGUUAAAGGGAGCGUAGAUGGGUUGUUAAGUCAGUUGUGAAAGUUUGCGGCUCAACCGUAAAAUUGCAAUUGAUACUGGCAGUCUUGAGUACAGUUGAGGUAGGCGGAAUGCGUGGUGUAGCGGUGAAAUGCAUAGAUAUCACGAAGAACACCGAUUGCGAAGGCAGCUUACUAAACUGUGACUGACAUUGAUGCACGAAAGCGUGGGGAGCAAACAGGAUUAGAUACCCGUGUAGUC
RNAcentral lists this ribosomal RNA (460 nucleotides) under uncultured bacterium. RNAcentral describes it as "partial 16S ribosomal RNA". It matches the Rfam family "Bacterial small subunit ribosomal RNA", at positions 338 to 795 of the family's 1533-position model. The record is from RNAcentral.